Molecule: transfer RNA, 73 nt
Filed under: Ardenticatena maritima
Lineage: Bacteria; Bacillati; Chloroflexota; Ardenticatenia; Ardenticatenales; Ardenticatenaceae
Also listed under: 1 other name
Description: filamentous thermophilic bacterium 110S tRNA
Rfam family: tRNA
About the family: Transfer RNA (tRNA) molecules are approximately 80 nucleotides in length. Their secondary structure includes four short double-helical elements and three loops (D, anti-codon, and T loops). Further hydrogen bonds mediate the characteristic L-shaped molecular structure. tRNAs have two regions of fundamental functional importance: the anti-codon, which is responsible for specific mRNA codon recognition, and the 3' end, to which the tRNAs corresponding amino acid is attached (by aminoacyl-tRNA synthetases). tRNAs cope with the degeneracy of the genetic code in two manners: having more than one tRNA (with a specific anti-codon) for a particular amino acid; and 'wobble' base-pairing, i.e. permitting non-standard base-pairing at the 3rd anti-codon position.
Source: Rfam by way of RNAcentral
GCUGAGGUAGCUCAGUUGGUAGAGCACCGCGCUGAAAACGCGGGGGUCCCCAGUUCGAGUCUGGGCCUCAGCA